This is a long non-coding RNA of Selaginella moellendorffii, 2394 nucleotides long. RefSeq lists it as uncharacterized. Lineage: Eukaryota; Viridiplantae; Streptophyta; Lycopodiopsida; Selaginellales; Selaginellaceae. The record is from RefSeq and is a predicted model, not a curated record. The transcript has 2 exons.
UAAAGGGCUAGAGCAGUGAUGGAUGCCGCGUCUUGGGUUUCGCGACCCUUCCACUCUGCCCAUUGAUCGGAGCUCCAGGUAGGCCGCUUCGCCUCUCUCCACCCUCGCAAGGUAAGUUUGUUUAGGUAGGGCUUUUCUUUGCGUUAGGAGUAAGACAGAGAUUUGGAAAGCGAAGCUGCUUGCAACGAGCUAAGAGGUAUGCUGGAGGCGAUCAAGAAAUCGUGUUGAAACUCUCAACGCUUGAAGACACCUCUUUUCGAUUGCAACGCAAAAGGGAGCCAGUAACACAAACAACUCAAACAAGCAAAGUGCAAGACAACGGGCCAAGGAACUCUCAACGCGAAGGGAAACUCACCGAUGUGGACAACGCUGUUUGAAUACGAACAAAACUAACGAUCAACGAUACUUAUUUUCACGUUGCCAGGUUCGCGUGUGUUUCGAUUUGUUCUAAUUUCUUGUCAUGAAGAAGCCAAGUGACAUGCUGGUGCUGCUCAACGACGAUAAGAACUGAAAAACUCCCAUGUCACAGUGUGUGCCAAGAAGAGAAGAGAUUGGAGAGAUUUUGUGUCAACGUUUUGGAGCUUUGAGUUGUGUUGUUGCUGCGCUCAACACAAGAUCUGCGAGCUGAGAAACAACGUUGGGAAACUGCGAUCUUCAGAACUUAAAUCCAGCUGAAGUUCUACAUGACAAUGGUCCAACCUCAAUGAAAACAACGAUCAGGGCCGGUCAAGGAUCAGCGACGGAUCAAGUCCACUCUCACCUCGCAAGGUAAGUUCGUUUAGAGUAAGACAACGAAACAAGAGAGAUUUGCUGGAGGCAAGAAAGCGAAGCUGCUUGCAACGAGCUAAGAGGUAUUCUCUAGGCUAGAGGCGAUUAAGAAUUCGUGUUGAAACUCUCAACGUUUGAAGACGCUCUUUCUUUUCGAUGCUAUGCUCAACGCACACAGUCCAAGUUAAUAUGAUAUGCUUGAUCAAACAACUCAAACAAGCUAAGUGCAAAACAACGGUCCAAGGAACUCUCAACGCGAAGGGAAACUUGUUGUCAGGUUUGUGUGUGUUUCAAUUUGUUCUAAGUUCUUGUCAUGAAAAAGACAAGUGACAUGUUGGUGCUGCUCAACCACGAUAAGAACUAAAACAUGCUGUGUCCAAGAAGAAAAAUGCUACGAGAUUGGAGAGAUUCUAUGUCAACAUUUUGUAGAGAUUGUCAGCGAUGUUGCUGCUGCUCAACGCAAGACCUGGGAGCUGAGAAACAACGUAAGGCAUCUGCAAUCUUCAAAACUUCAAUCCAGUUGAAGACGUACAUGACAAUGGUCCAACCUCAACGAAAACAACGAUCAUGAAAACUCUGGCUGUCCAACGAUAUGGAAGUCGAAGUUUAACAGGUUCGUGAGCUGUUUGUUCUAACCAAAACGUUUGUUGAAAAUGUACAUGACAAUGGUCCAACCUCAAUGAAAGCAACGAUCAUGAUCCGUCGCUGAUCCUUGACAGGCCCGGUCCACUCUCGCACCUCUCCACCUCGCAAGGUAAGUUCAGUGAGUAAGACAACGAAACAAGAGAGAUUUGCCGGAGACAAGAAAUAUGCUCUAGAAUGAUCAACGAUAAAAGAGAGGCUAGAAGCAAUCAAGAAUUUGUUGAAACUCUCAACGUUUGAAGACGCUCUUUCUUUUCGAUUGAGAUUGUCGACGGGGUAUGCUCAACGCAAAAGGGAGCCAGUGACACAGUCAAGCUAAGAUGAUAUGCUCAAACAACUCAAACAAACUAAGUGCAAACAACGGCCCAAGAAACUUUCAACGGGAAGGGAAACUAACGAUCAUUGAAAGUUGACAAACUUAGCUUCAUGUUGUCAGACAAGUGACAUGUUGGUGCUGUUCAACCACGAUAAGAACUAAAAAACGCUGUGUCCAAGAAGAAAAAUGCUACGAGAUUGGAGAGAUUCUGUGUCAACAUUUUGGAGAGAUUGUCAGCGAUGUUGCUGCUGCGCUCAACGCAAGACCUGCGAGCUGAGAAACAACGUUGGGCAUCUGCGACUUCAGAACUUCAAUCCAGUUGAAGACGUUCAUGACAAUGGUCCAACCUCAAUGAAAACAACGAUCAUGAAAACUCCGGCUGUUCAAGGAUAUGGAAGUCGAAGUUUGACAGGUGCUUGUUCUAACCAAAAUGCUUGUUUUAACGAACUGAGAGGCUUCAACCCCAGGUCUAUGUUCUCUUUAGUUUUCUUUAUAGUUUCUCUAACUUCCUUUUGUUUUUGCAACGCCAUGAGAUUGCAACGGUGACAUAGAACAAUGUUCCAUAGCGAUAGGUAGAUGGAAGUGUACGCUUUGGCAGUGGCAAAACGAGACGACCUACACAAAGCUACCCUGUGGUUUCCUUGAAAAGAAAUGAAUACAUUUACAAA